Culex quinquefasciatus (southern house mosquito) is the source of this 238-nucleotide long non-coding RNA. RefSeq lists it as uncharacterized. The transcript has 2 exons. NCBI's taxonomy places the organism in Eukaryota, Metazoa, Arthropoda, Insecta, Diptera, Culicidae. The record is from RefSeq and is a predicted model, not a curated record.
GGUAAAUAGAAAUAAUCAUGUACCGAUGUAAACAAAUCGCGUUUUUUUUCGACUCCUGGAUUUUUGUGAGGUUUAGAGAUAAGAGAUGAGAAUACCACGCAGCAUAAGGUUAGAGUCUGGCGGAAUUCGUCACUAUUGUGCGCAGCUAUCAAAUGCCUUAAAAAGGCACAGUUAACGCAAUUUGUGAUAAGUUGUAAAUCGAGUUAUAAAGAGAAAUAAAAUAUAAAAUUUGCUUUGC